GCAGGAGAGAAAAGUGGAAUCUUGUCUUGCAUUAUGCCCUGUUACAUCUAGGCUAGAUAAUCUUUGAUACUUUGCUUAUGUUAGGACAUUUAUGUUAAUUAGAAUCAGUGUAAUGUCAAUAAUCAACAAUCACACAAUUUCAGUGAGUCUACAUGCCUGGUGACUGGCUGCCGGCCCUCAUCUACUGGCUCUGACGGCCUUCAUCUCUCCACAUCUGUACUGUACUCUGCUGUCCCUGCUCUCUCGAAGUGAGUCUACACGCCUGGUGACUGGCUGCCGGCCCUCAUCUACUAGAUCUGACGGCCUUCAUCUCUCCACAACUGUACUGUACUCUGCUGUCCCUGCCGUCUUGAAGGUUGGUCAACACACACAUACAGUGUCAGUUACAAAUACACAAUUCCUUAUGGACCCGCCCGCUGAAUCUUUGCUCAUAUUCAGCCCAAUUAUGACCUCAGUAUUUCUAAAAUCCUGGUUACGGCUUUGUGCAGUAUGUUUGCAUUAUCUUACUAGAAGCCCUGGCUGUCACGUCUAUC
Molecule: long non-coding RNA, 533 nt
Filed under: Sparus aurata (gilthead seabream)
Lineage: Eukaryota; Metazoa; Chordata; Actinopteri; Spariformes; Sparidae
Description: lncRNA (ENSSAUG00010020681.1)
Source: RNAcentral